RNAcentral lists this ribosomal RNA (771 nucleotides) under uncultured bacterium. RNAcentral describes it as "bacterial SSU rRNA". It matches the Rfam family "Bacterial small subunit ribosomal RNA", at positions 8 to 796 of the family's 1533-position model. The record is from RNAcentral.
AGAGUUUGAUCCUGGCUCAGGACGAACGCUGGCGGCGUGCUUAACACAUGCAAGUCGAACGGAAAGGCCCUUCGGGGUACUCGAGUGGCGAACGGGUGAGUAACACGUGGGUGAUCUGCCCUGCACUUUGGGAUAAGCCUGGGAAACUGGGUCUAAUACCGAAUAUGACCAUGCGCCUCCUGGUGUGUGGUGGAAAGCUUUUGCGGUGUGGGAUGGGCCCGCGGCCUAUCAGCUUGUUGGUGGGGUAAUGGCCUACCAAGGCGACGACGGGUAGCCGGCCUGAGAGGGUGACCGGCCACACUGGGACUGAGAUACGGCCCAGACUCCUACGGGAGGCAGCAGUGGGGAAUAUUGCACAAUGGGCGCAAGCCUGAUGCAGCGACGCCGCGUGAGGGAUGACGGCCUUCGGGUUGUAAACCUCUUUCAGCACAGACGAAGCGCAAGUGACGGUAUGUGCAGAAGAAGGACCGGCCAACUACGUGCCAGCAGCCGCGGUAAUACGUAGGGUCCGAGCGUUGUCCGGAAUUACUGGGGGUAAAGAGCUCGUAGGUGGUUUGUCGCGUUGUUCGUGAAAACUCACAGCUUAACUGUGGGCGUGCGGGCGAUACGGGCAGACUUGAGUACUGCAGGGGAGACUGGAAUUCCUGGUGUAGCGGUGGAAUGCGCAGAUAUCAGGAGGAACACCGGUGGCGAAGGCGGGUCUCUGGGCAGUAACUGACGCUGAGGAGCGAAAGCGUGGGGAGCGAACAGGAUUAGAUACCCUGGUAGUCC